GGGGAUGUGGCUUAGUGGUAAAGCGCUCGCUUAGCAUGCGAGAGGUCCUGGGUUCGAUUCCCAGCAUCUCCA
This is a non-coding RNA of Octopus sinensis (East Asian common octopus), 72 nucleotides long. The record is from the annotation of a RefSeq genome assembly. NCBI's taxonomy places the organism in Eukaryota, Metazoa, Mollusca, Cephalopoda, Octopoda, Octopodidae.